RNAcentral lists this long non-coding RNA (209 nucleotides) under Elaeis guineensis (African oil palm). RNAcentral's name for it is "long non-coding RNA (EGUI_LNC045654)". Lineage: Eukaryota; Viridiplantae; Streptophyta; Magnoliopsida; Arecales; Arecaceae. The record is from RNAcentral.
AUUUGGGCAGACCAUACUUUUCUUAUAAAAUUUUAUUUUUUCUUAUUAUAAAUUCUAUAAAACCAUGCUUUUCUUUUUUGAUUUUUAGUAGAAUUAAAAUCUACACUAAGUAGUUCCCUAUCUAUCUAAAAAUCAGCUAUUCUAAUGUAUUUAUCAUCUAAAUAUGAACCAAAUAUAUCUCUAAUUACUACUUUAGCUACUCAUUUGAC